GUUGUACGUGACCCUGUCGCUGCCUCCUCGGAGGGAGAGGAAAGUCCGGACAAUACAGAGCACCGCACCACCUAACGGGUGGGGGCCAGCGGAGGAAUCGGCCGGCUACAGAGCGUGUCACAGAAAGUAUACCGCCACGCCCAGGCGUGGUAAGGGUGAAACCGUGUGGUAAGAGCACACGCCGUCGGGCAGUAAUGUCAGGGGGAGAUAAACCUUGCGGAUUGAAAUGCCAUGUACACCAGUCUGCACUGUCUUCGGACAGGGCUGCAAGUUGCUCGCUUGUAUGGCUGGGGGGUAGGCAGAUGGAUCGCUACUGUGAGGUAGCGGCUAGAUAAAUGAUGGGGCCUGCGCCAGUCGUAGGGACAGAAUCCGGCUUAUGAUCGUGCAACUGGA
RNAcentral lists this RNase P RNA (393 nucleotides) under Bacteroidota bacterium. Its description in RNAcentral is "Bacteroidetes bacterium RNase P RNA component class A". It matches the Rfam family "Bacterial RNase P class A". Rfam says of the family: Ribonuclease P (RNase P) is a ubiquitous endoribonuclease, found in archaea, bacteria and eukarya as well as chloroplasts and mitochondria. Its best characterised activity is the generation of mature 5'-ends of tRNAs by cleaving the 5'-leader elements of precursor-tRNAs. Lineage: Bacteria; Pseudomonadati; Bacteroidota. The record is from RNAcentral.